GACGUUACUAACGACGAUAUGCUUUGGGGAGCUGUAAGUAAGCUUUGAUCCAGAGAUUUCCGAAUGGGGAAACCCAGCAUGAGUUAUGUCAUGUUAUCGAUAUGUGAAUACAUAGCAUAUCAGAAGGCACACCCGGAGAACUGAAACAUCUUAGUACCCGGAGGAAGAGAAAGAAAAUUCGAUUCCCUUAGUAGCGGCGAGCGAAACGGGAAGAGCCCAAACCAAAAAGCUUGCUUGUUGGGGUUGUAGGACACUCUAUACGGAGUUACAAAGGACGACAUUAGACGAAUCAUCUGGAAAGAUGAAUCAAAGAAGGUAAUAAUCCUGUAGUCGAAAAUGUUGUCUCUCUUGAGUGGAUCCUGAGUACGACGGAGCACGUGAAAUUCCGUCGGAAUCUGGGAGGACCAUCUCCUAAGGCUAAAUACUCUCUAGUGACCGAUAGUGAACCAGUACCGUGAGGGAAAGGUGAAAAGCACCCCGGAAGGAGAGUGAAAUAGAACCUGAAACCGUGUGCUUACAAGUAGUCAGAGCCCGUUAAUGGGUGAUGGCGUGCCUUUUGUAGAAUGAACCGGCGAGUUACGAUUUGAUGCAAGGUUAAGCAGUAAAUGUGGAGCCGUAGCGAAAGCGAGUCUGAAUAGGGCGUUUAGUAUUUGGUCGUAGACCCGAAACCAGGUGAUCUACCCUUGGUCAGGUUGAAGUUCAGGUAACACUGAAUGGAGGACCGAACCGACUUACGUUGAAAAGUGAGCGGAUGAACUGAGGGUAGCGGAGAAAUUCCAAUCGAACCUGGAGAUAGCUGGUUCUCUCCGAAAUAGCUUUAGGGCUAGCCUCAAGUGAUGAUUAUUGGAGGUAGAGCACUGUUUGGACGAGGGGCCCCUCUCGGGUUACCGAAUUCAGACAAACUCCGAAUGCCAAUUAAUUUAACUUGGGAGUCAGAACAUGGGUGAUAAGGUCCGUGUUCGAAAGGGAAACAGCCCAGACCACCAGCUAAGGUCCCAAAAUAUAUGUUAAGUGGAAAAGGAUGUGGCGUUGCCCAGACAACUAGGAUGUUGGCUUAGAAGCAGCCAUCAUUUAAAGAGUGCGUAAUAGCUCACUAGUCGAGUGACACUGCGCCGAAAAUGUACCGGGGCUAAACAUAUUACCGAAGCUGUGGAUUGUCCUUUGGACAAUG
This 1171-nucleotide ribosomal RNA is filed under the name Staphylococcus aureus. RNAcentral describes it as "partial 23S ribosomal RNA". It matches the Rfam family "Bacterial large subunit ribosomal RNA", at positions 55 to 1227 of the family's 2925-position model. Lineage: Bacteria; Bacillati; Bacillota; Bacilli; Caryophanales; Staphylococcaceae. The record is from RNAcentral.